ACAGUAAGUGAGGUCAUCCCACCUUUUGGUAUCUGGAUCAUUUAUUCUAUCUUUUGAUGGAAGAGAGUGAUAAUAGAUUUAGGGUAUAUACAGUGCAGUAGAGAAUGACACCCCGUCCUCAUAGGCUGUGAGCUCCAAAUUUGCACCUCAUUUGCACUGUGAAGAAGCCACUCCAUUGUUUCAGUAGACCAGUGGCUUCUGGGUGGCGCAGUAUGAGAUAACAACUUUAGAUUACACGGUCAUGUGCCCACUGAGCACUUCCUUUGCUACAUGUGGGUCCCUUGGUCCCAGCUGAUCAUAUGAAAUAUCCCGGCUCAGUGUAUCCAACAUUCUUUAAGCCCUCUGUUAGUGGUGCCUGACAAAGAAAUGUGAGCGGGAAAGUCAAACUUACACCUGUAAUGUAGACAAAUUCCAGUAAAGAUGAAUCUCUGCUCCUUCCAGGAUGGAAGUUGCUGGACGCAAUCAACAAGUCACAAGGGGCUGAUUAGUCUCCUUAAGCAAUGGUGCCAUACUGGGUAUUCAGCACUGGUUGCUGGCAGUUUAAACAUUUGGCAAAAAUAGCUGGAUAUGCCUGGGUGAAUGUGGACCCACGCUGUUGAACACGUGCAUAGCAUCCACUUCUUCCACCAUGGCUAUUCCACACAUAAGGCCAUUGUGUAGCAUUAAUGUGGCCAGGGACUGAGGCUGGCUAAUGUCAACUAGUCAGGUCAUUUUUUCUUGAUUAAACGUUUAGUGUCUCUUCCACGGUGAAUGCUCUCUUGAGCCUUAAGACGUGAUACAAAUAUCUUCACAUAUAGUGUCCCUUCUCAUACGUCCAUCAAUAAACCUCCUUCCCCAAUCCUGCUUGUUGCAAUCUGUCACUACUUGUCAUUCUAAGUCCCUGAGCAGCUGUCCAAUUUGUUUUUCACUGUCCAUAAGUCCAUUCUUAGUUUGGGUCACUUCUCUUUUAGAUAUGAAGUGGAUCGUCAGAUGCACCAUUUGAAGCUCUGCCAACUGGGGAUUUCUGCUCAGCAUUGUAUUUCUUGACCACAUUUGAUCGAGAGUCUACUCCUCUCUGCAGAUGAGAUUCCCUGGUUGCCACUCAACUUUCCUGCUUAAUAUGAUCGUUGUGACCAUCUUGCUUUUGAAAUGUAAGUGCCACUUCCGGAGUCAAAGGGGCAGGUGGCCCAAAGCUUCCAGUUUGGGGUGAAAUUGCAAGAAAUAGAGACUCUGUAGACAGCAUCUGCAUAUCACCAUAUUCCAGAAUUCACUGACCACAGGUGAUGCUGUGGACCCUAACCUCCCAUGGCUUUCCAGGGUCUGGACUAGGGGAGAAAGUAUAAAUUUCACCAGAGCACUAUUCAUGAACACACACGUGGCAGCUCCAGAAAAAAAAUAAAUAAAUAACGAUCGAGUCAUGUUUACAAGAGGAUAGAGACCCCAUGUCAUGCAGGAGUGAGUGCAGUCAGUGAAGUCUGAAUUGUUAAUGUUAACCCCACUUAGAAGAAAAAAAAGUACAAUUGAUUUUAUUCAUUGACGUGAUCCUGUAUGCAGAAAAUUCUAACAAACCCACCAAAGAGUAUUAGAACUAUUAAAUGAGUUUAGCAAGUUCACAAGAUACAAGAUCAAUACAGAAAAUUAGUAGCAUUUCUGUAUACUAACAAUGAAUAAACCCAAAGUGAAAUUAAGAAAAUAAUUGCAUUAAGAAUAAAACACUUAGGAAGAAAUCUAACAAAAUAAGUGCACAGCUUAUACA
Non-coding RNA from Chlorocebus sabaeus (green monkey), 1735 nucleotides. The record is from RefSeq and is a predicted model, not a curated record. NCBI's taxonomy places the organism in Eukaryota, Metazoa, Chordata, Mammalia, Primates, Cercopithecidae.